CCAGAUACUGACACUCAGAUGUGAAAGCGUGGGGAGCAAAACAGGAUUAGAUACCCUGGUAGUGCACGCCGUAAACGAUGUCUACUUGGAGGUUGUGGCCUUGAGCCGUGGCUUUCGGAGCUAACGCGUUAAGUAGACCGCCUGGGGAGUACGGUCGCAAGAUUAAAACUCAAAUGAAUUGACGGGGGCCCGCACAAGCGGUGGAGCAUGUGGUUUAAUUCGAUGCAACGCGAAGAACCUUACCUACUCUUGACAUCUACAGAAGCCAGCGGAGACGCAGGUGUGCCUUCGGGAACUGUAAGACAGGUGCUGCAUGGCUGUCGUCAGCUCGUGUUGUGAAAUGUUGGGUUAAGUCCCGCAACGAGCGCAACCCUUAUCCUUGUUUGCCAGCACUUCGGGUGGGAACUCCAGGGAGACUGCCGGUGAUAAACCGGAGGAAGGUGGGGACGACGUCAAGUCAUCAUGGCCCUUACGAGUAGGGCUACACACGUGCUACAAUGGCGCAUACAGAGGGCGGCCAACUUGCGAAAGUGAGCGAAUCCCAAAAAGUGCGUCGUAGUCCGGAUUGGAGUCUGCAACUCGACUCCAUGAAGUCGGAAUCGCUAGUAAUCGUGGAUCAGAAUGCCACGGUGAAUACGUUCCCGGGCCUUGUACACACCGCCCGUCACACCAUGGGAGUGGGCUGCAAAAGAAGUGGGUAGUUUAACCUUCGGGAGGACGCUCACCACUUUGUGGUUCAUGACUGGGGUGAAGUCGUAACAAGGUAACCG
Molecule: ribosomal RNA, 770 nt
Filed under: uncultured bacterium
Lineage: Bacteria
Description: bacterial SSU rRNA
Rfam family: Bacterial small subunit ribosomal RNA
Source: RNAcentral